Molecule: ribosomal RNA, 470 nt
Filed under: uncultured bacterium
Lineage: Bacteria
Description: bacterial SSU rRNA
Rfam family: Bacterial small subunit ribosomal RNA
Source: RNAcentral
GAUGAACGCUAGCGGCAGGCUUAAUACAUGCAAGUCGUGGGGCAGCAUGAGUAGCAAUACUUGAUGGCGACCGGCAAACGGGUGAGGAACACGUACACAACCUUCCUUCAAGCGGGGAAUAGCCCAGAGAAAUUUGGAUUAAUACCCCCAUAAUAUAUUUGAUAAGGCAUCUUAUUAAUAUUAAAGCUUCGGCACUUGAUGAUGGGUGUGCGGCUGAUUAGAUAGUUGGCGGGGUAACGGCCCACCAAGUCUACGAUCAGUAGCUGAUGUGAGAGCAUGAUCAGCCACACGGGCACUGAGACACGGGCCCGACUCCUACGGGAGGCAGCAGUAAGGAAUAUUGGACAAUGGACGAAAGUCUGAUCCAGCCAUGCCGCGUGAAGGAUUAAGGUCCUCUGGAUUGUAAACUUCUUUUAUAUGGGACGAAAAAGGGCAUUCUUGUUCACUUGACGGUACCAUAUGAAUAAGCA